GGUUUAGACCAGACUGGCUUAUCAAAGCCUGAUCUCAUCAGAUCUCAGAAGCUAAGCAAGGGUGGGCCUGGUUUGUACUUGGAUGGGAGACAUCCAAUUACUAGGAGACACUUUGGGGCACCAGUGGCAAAAACU
This 135-nucleotide ribosomal RNA is filed under the name Periophthalmus magnuspinnatus. The record is from RNAcentral. Lineage: Eukaryota; Metazoa; Chordata; Actinopteri; Gobiiformes; Gobiidae.